AUGGAGCCCAUCCCUCUGCUGACGCCGUACAAGAUGGGCCAGUUCGACCUGUCGCACCGGGUCGUGCUGGCGCCCAUGACGCGGCAGCGCGCCUACGGCGGCGUGCCGCAGCCGCACGCCGCCCUCUACUACUCCCAGCGCGCCACCCCCGGCGGCCUCCUCAUCUCCGAGGCCACGCGCGUCGCGCCGGCGAGGCGGGACGAGGAGCCGACGUCGUUCAGGGACAUGCCGGGGAUCUGGGCGCCGGAGCAGGUCGAGGCGUGGAGGCCCGUGGUGGACGCCGUGCACGCCGAGGGCGCCGUCUUCUUCUGCCAGCUCUGGCACGCCGCGGCCGGCAACGGCGACGAUGCCAGGGAAAGGCAACAGGUGAGCCCGCAGAUGAGCUACGAUGGCCGCCGCGAGGAGCUGACGUCGCCGAGGAGGGUGGCGCCCGAGGACGCGCCCGGCGUCGUGGACGCGUUCAGACGCGCCGCCAGGAACGCCAUCGAUGCCGGCUUCGACGGCGUCGAGCUCCAAGGCACCAACGGCUACUUCGUCGACGGCGGCGGCGGCGGCCCGGAGAGCCGGUGCCGGUUCGCGCUGGAGGUGGUGGAGACCGUGGCGCGGGAGAUCGGCGGCCACCGCCUGGGCCUGCGGCUGGACCAGUUCACGGCCGAGCCCGAGGAGCACGCGCUGGCGCUCCACGUCGUGAGCCGGCUCAACGACCUCGGCGUGCUCUACUGCCACAUGAUCGAGCCCAAGGUGGACGGCCGGCGCCGUGUGUCCCGGCGGCUGCUGCCGUACAGGGAGGCGUUCGGCGGCACGUUCAUCGCCAGCGGCGGGUACGGGCGGGAGGAGGGCGACGCGGCCGUCGGCGAGGGGUACGCCGACCUGGUGGCCUACGGGCGGCUCUUCCUGGCCAACCCGGACCUGCCGAGGAGGUUCGAGCUGGGCGCGCCGCUCAAUGACUGCGUCAGCGCCACCUUCUACGGCGCCGGAGUCGGAUCCGCCCACCCCGCCGUCGGAUACACCGAUUACCCGUUCCUCGACUGA
RNAcentral lists this ribosomal RNA (1032 nucleotides) under Triticum aestivum (bread wheat). Its description in RNAcentral is "partial small subunit ribosomal RNA". The record is from RNAcentral. Lineage: Eukaryota; Viridiplantae; Streptophyta; Magnoliopsida; Poales; Poaceae.